GAGGAGACGCUGGCGGCGUGCCUAACACAUGCAAGUCGAGCGGAGUCGAUCGACGGAAGCCUUCGGGCGGAAGAUGGUUGACUUAGCGGCGGAUGGGUGAGUAACGCGUGGGCAACCUGCCUCGAAGACCGGGAUAACAGCCCGAAAGGGCUGCUAAUACCGGAUGUGGUCAAGGAUCCGCAUGGAUUUUGAUUAAAGGGGAAACCCGUUUCGAGAUGGGCCCGCGUCCUAUCAGCUAGUUGGUGAGGUAAAAGCUCACCAAGGCGACGACGGGUAGCCGGCCUGAGAGGGUGACCGGCCACACUGGAACUGAGACACGGUCCAGACUCCUACGGGGGGCAGCAGUGGGGAAUCUUCCACAAUGGGCGAAAGCCUGAUGGAGCGACGCCGCGUGAGCGAAGAAGGCCUUCGGGUUGUAAAGCUCUGUCUGGAGGGACGAAGGAAGUGACGGUACCUCCGGAGGAAGCCACGGCUAACUACGUG
This 483-nucleotide ribosomal RNA is filed under the name uncultured bacterium. RNAcentral describes it as "bacterial SSU rRNA". It matches the Rfam family "Bacterial small subunit ribosomal RNA", at positions 33 to 507 of the family's 1533-position model. The record is from RNAcentral.